This is an RNA transcript of Quercus lobata, 1900 nucleotides long. It is a transcript of the gene named G-type lectin S-receptor-like serine/threonine-protein kinase At1g11330, with no coding region annotated. The transcript has 4 exons. The record is from RefSeq and is a predicted model, not a curated record. NCBI's taxonomy places the organism in Eukaryota, Viridiplantae, Streptophyta, Magnoliopsida, Fagales, Fagaceae.
GUCAUGGGACUUCUUAGCAAGAGAAACAUUUUGUCUGUCUUUUGUUGCCUUUGUUUAAACUUAGGCGUUGCCAUAGACACCAUUAUAUCUCCCCAAUCCAUCAAAGACCCAGACUACAUAAUCUCCAAUGGGAGUGCUUUCAAACUUGGAUUCUUUAGCCCAGUAAAUUCCACCAAUCGCUACCUUGGAAUAUGGUAUAAUAGAAUUUCUGUUUUCACUGUAGUAUGGGUAGCUAACAGACAGAAACCCCUGAAGGAUUCUUCUGGGGUUCUUACCAUAUCCAAGGACGGCAAUCUUGUAGUCUUAGAUGGACAAAAGGAGAUUCUUUGGUCAUCAAAUGUUACAAACUCUGUUGCCAAUUCAAAUUUCCACCUUUUGGAUUCAGGGAACCUUGUCUUGCGAGAAAAUACUAGUGGGAAAAUCAUAUGGGAGAGUUUCCAUCAUCCAACUGAUACAUUCUUGCCAGGAAUGAAACUUAGUGUUAAUUUAAGGACAAAUCAGAAAGUACUGUAUACAUCAUGGAAAAGCCCUUCUGAUCCAUCCAUUGGAAGCUUCUCUACAGGUAUGGCUUCAGUAAACACUCCCGAAGCUUUCAUUUGGAAAGAUGGUCGUCCAUAUUGGCGGACUGGUCCAUGGAAUGGUCAGAUCUUUAUUGGUGAACCUGACUGGAAUGCAGAAUAUCAUAAUGGAUUUAAUCUAGUAGAUGACAAAGAAGGUACCGUUUAUGCAACUUUUGAUUAUGCAAAUGUGUUGCCUCUAUCAAAAUUUGUGUUGAAUUCACAAGGAAAUCUAGUGCAGACAUAUUGGGAUGAUAGCAAGGAGGAUUGGAAGGUUGUGGGGUUAGCUCCAAAAGAUGAGUGUGAUGUUUAUGGCACUUGUGGUGCAUUUGGAAGCUGUGAUUCGCAGAGGAUACCAAUCUGUAGCUGUAUUAGAGGGUUUGAGCCAAAGAUUAUUGAGGAAUGGAACAGAGGAAAUUGGACAAGUGGGUGUAUUAGGAGAGCACCAUUGCAGUGUCAAAGGGUGAAUAAUAGUGGUGAAGAAGGCAGAGCAGAUGGGUUCUUGAAACUGAAGAUGAUCAAAGUGCCAUACUUUAUGGAGAGGUCAUAUGGGUCUAUAGACGGUUGUCGAAAGCAGUGCUUGAAGAACAAUGAUUGUGUGGCGUAUGCACAUGAUGUUGGAAUUGGUUGUAUGUCAUGGAGUAGAAACCUUAUUGACCUCAGGAAAUUGUCCAUUCGUGGAUCGGAUAUAUAUAUUCGUCUUGCCUACUCAGAAUUUGAAUUUGCAUCAGAAAGGAAAAAUAAAAGCAGGGAGAGCUUAUUGUUUGACUACCUGGAUGAUGUUAAACUCCACGACCUACCCAUUUUCAGUUUGGAAGAAGUGGCAACUGCAACAAACAACUUUCAUGUAGCUAAUAUGCUUGGGCGAGGUGGGUUUGGUCCAGUCUAUAAGGGCAAAUUACAAGAUGGACAAGAAAUAGCAGUGAAAAGACUAUCUAAAUCAUCUGGACAAGGGCUUGAAGAAUUUAUGAAUGAGGUGAUGGUGAUUUCUAAACUCCAACAUCGAAAUCUUGUUAGACUUCUUGGCUGCUACUCUGAGGGAGAAGAAAAGAUGUUGAUCUACGAAUACAUGCCAAACAAAAGUUUGGACACAUUUGUUUUUGAUCCACUCAAUCAAAAACUCCUCAAUUGGACAAAACGCUUCAAUAUUAUUAAAGGAAUUGGUCGAGGUCUACUCUGCCUUCAUAGGGAUUCUAGAAUGAAGAUUAUUCAUAGAGAUCUAAAGGCAAGUAAUAUCUUGUUAGAUGAAGAGCUAAAUCCCAAAAUAUCGGACUUCGGAAUUGCUAGAAUUUUCAGAGAACGUGAAAAUCAUGGUUAAUACUAAAAGGGUUGUUGGUACAUAG